This 397-nucleotide ribosomal RNA is filed under the name uncultured bacterium. Its description in RNAcentral is "bacterial SSU rRNA". It matches the Rfam family "Bacterial small subunit ribosomal RNA", at positions 28 to 417 of the family's 1533-position model. The record is from RNAcentral.
GACGAACGCUGGCGGCGUGCUUAACACAUGCAAGUCGAGCGGGAUCCAACCGGUGGCAACACCGGGGAAGAUCUAGCGGCGAACGGGUGAGUAACACGUGAGCAACCUGCCCCGAAGACUGGGAUAACACCGGGAAACCGGUGCUAAUACCGGAUGUCGUCAUUAGGCCGCAUGACCUGAUGAUGAAAGGAUUCAUCGCUUCGGGAGGGGCUCGCGGGCUAUCAGCUUGNGGUGGGGUAACGGCCUACCAAGGCGACGACGGCUAGCUGGUCUGAGAGGACGACCAGCCACACUGGGACUGAGACACGGCCCAGACUCCUACGGGAGGCAGCAGUGGGGAAUCUUGCGCAAUGGGCGAAAACCUGACGCAGCGACGCCGCGUGAGGGAUGACGGCCU